AGAGUUUGAUCCUGGCUCAGGACGAACGCUGGCGGCGUGCCUAACACAUGCAAGUCGAGCGGAGAAAGUUCUUCGGAACUUUCUUAGCGGCGGACGGGUGAGUAACACGUGGGUAACCUCCCUUAUAGAGGGGGAUAGCCUUCCGAAAGGAAGAUUAAUACCGCAUAACAUUUUUGUUUCGCAUGAAAUGAAAAUCAAAGGAGCAAUCCGCUAUAAGAUGGACCCGCGGCGCAUUAGCUAGUUGGUGAGGUAAUGGCUCACCAAGGCGACGAUGCGUAGCCGACCUGAGAGGGUGAUCGGCCACAUUGGAACUGAGAUACGGUCCAGACUCCUACGGGAGGCAGCAGUGGGGAAUAUUGCACAAUGGGGGAAACCCUGAUGCAGCAACGCCGCGUGAGUGAUGAAGGCCUUC
This 412-nucleotide ribosomal RNA is filed under the name uncultured bacterium. RNAcentral describes it as "bacterial SSU rRNA". It matches the Rfam family "Bacterial small subunit ribosomal RNA", at positions 8 to 419 of the family's 1533-position model. The record is from RNAcentral.